UAUCUGCGAGAUCUUGCUGUGGGCCAGGUAUCCAUUCUCCUGUGGCAGCCGUAGAACCUACGGAGACUAGAGGUAUUCCAAGAAAAACAGUAAAGAUGGGGCGGUGGGUAAGAAAACGGCGGGAGGGGAGAGAAUGGCCCAGAACGCCUGUGGGGAGGGACCUGGCGCGCUUUUACCUGGGCGGCCUUUCGACUCUAGGUCCGUGGGUGGUGGAGGAUCCUUUGCGUAGCAAAAAAGGAAGGCGAGUGCUCCUGCAUCCUCUCCAGACGAUACCCAGGUGAGUAGUACCCCCUUGAACCCACCACCCAUGCCCAACCUCUGAGCUUCCCCAUCCCAGUCUCUGGAGAAAAGAUUUCGUGCAGGUCUGCUGCUCACGUGAUUGUCUGUGUUCUGGUCUUGACUCCAUAUCAACCGCUACCCAACAUUUUCUGUCUCUCUCUGAGACGUACUAAGAUAUUCCAGACUCAGGAGGCCUAAUCUUACCUAACCCCUUGAAACCAGCUAUGAAACUUUGAACUAUCCGAUUUAUUCCUUUGGGUCUCGAUUUCAUCAACUGUCAAAUGGGGGUAUAUUUCUACCUGAGCCAAUACGCAUGCUUGGUCCCUAGAAAUUUUUUUCAAUAAAUAAUGAUGAUCGUGAUUGAAAGAAUAUUGAUUCUCUUAGUCUCUGACUUUUUUUCCACCCGUGUCUGUCUCUGACCCUCUCCCCACUGGAUCUUUU
This 720-nucleotide long non-coding RNA is filed under the name Rattus norvegicus (Norway rat). RNAcentral's name for it is "long non-coding RNA NONRATT030554". Lineage: Eukaryota; Metazoa; Chordata; Mammalia; Rodentia; Muridae. The record is from RNAcentral.